GACGAACGCUGGCGGCGUGCUUAACACAUGCAAGUCGAGCGGUAAGGCCCUUUCGGGGGUACGACGAGCGGCGAACGGGUGAGUAACACGUGGGUGGACCUGCCCGUCCAGCUCUGGGAUAAGCCUGGGAAACCGGGUCUAAUACCGGAUAUGACUCCAUGACGCAUGUUGUGGGGUGGAAAGCCUUGUGCGGCUGAGGAUGGGCCCGCGGCCUAUCAGCUUGUUGGUGGGGU
This 233-nucleotide ribosomal RNA is filed under the name uncultured bacterium. Its description in RNAcentral is "partial 16S ribosomal RNA". It matches the Rfam family "Bacterial small subunit ribosomal RNA", at positions 28 to 258 of the family's 1533-position model. The record is from RNAcentral.